This 75-nucleotide small RNA is filed under the name Staphylococcus aureus. It matches the Rfam family "Staphylococcus sRNA sau-19". RNAcentral also lists the same sequence under 1 other name. The record is from RNAcentral. Lineage: Bacteria; Bacillati; Bacillota; Bacilli; Caryophanales; Staphylococcaceae.
GUUCUUUAGACAUUAAAAGCUUCUAACAUGAUAUGGAAUCCAAGAUUCCGAUAUCAUGUUAGAAGCUUUUUUGUU